This 504-nucleotide ribosomal RNA is filed under the name Salmonella enterica subsp. enterica serovar Infantis. Its description in RNAcentral is "partial 23S ribosomal RNA". It matches the Rfam family "Bacterial large subunit ribosomal RNA", at positions 711 to 1213 of the family's 2925-position model. RNAcentral also lists the same sequence under 8 other names. Lineage: Bacteria; Pseudomonadati; Pseudomonadota; Gammaproteobacteria; Enterobacterales; Enterobacteriaceae. The record is from RNAcentral.
AGACCCGAAACCCGGUGAUCUAGCCAUGGGCAGGUUGAAGGUUGGGUAACACUAACUGGAGGACCGAACCGACUAAUGUUGAAAAAUUAGCGGAUGACCUGUGGCUGGGGGUGAAAGGCCAAUCAAACCGGGAGAUAGCUGGUUCUCCCCGAAAGCUAUUUAGGUAGCGCCUCGUGAAUUCAUCUCCGGGGGUAGAGCACUGUUUCGGCUAGGGGGCCAUCCCGGCUUACCAACCCGAUGCAAACUGCGAAUACCGGAGAAUGUUAUCACGGGAGACACACGGCGGGUGCUAACGUCCGUCGUGAAGAGGGAAACAACCCAGACCGCCAGCUAAGGUCCCAAAGUCAUGGUUAAGUGGGAAACGAUGUGGGAAGGCCCAGACAGCCAGGAUGUUGGCUUAGAAGCAGCCAUCAUUUAAAGAAAGCGUAAUAGCUCACUGGUCGAGUCGGCCUGCGCGGAAGAUGUAACGGGGCUAAACCAUGCACCGAAGCUGCGGCAGCGACA